This 1464-nucleotide ribosomal RNA is filed under the name Triticum aestivum (bread wheat). RNAcentral's name for it is "partial small subunit ribosomal RNA". The record is from RNAcentral. Lineage: Eukaryota; Viridiplantae; Streptophyta; Magnoliopsida; Poales; Poaceae.
AUGGAAGGGAAGGGCGCCACGCUCGUCUUGCCGGAGCUGCUGAAGGAGGAGGUGCACUCGCCGCCGCUGUCACCGCUGUCGCCGCGCAGCAGCGACGACGAGGAGAUCGAAGCUGACGACAGCGAUGGCGAGGAGGAGGAAGGCGGGGCUCCGGUUGGGACCGGCGGUGCCGUGGCCAGCGGGCCUCCGAUGAAGAAAGGGCCGUGGACGUCCGAUGAGGACCAGCGCCUGAGGACCUACGUGGAGGCGCACGGCGAGGGUAACUGGAAUCAGGUCCAGAGGAACGCCGGGCUGAACCGGUGCGGCAAGAGCUGCCGCCUCCGCUGGGCGAACCACCUCAGGCCCAACCUCAAGAAGGGUCCCUUCUCCAAGGAGGAGGAGCAGAAGAUUAUCGAGCUUCAUGCGCUGCACGGGAACAAGUGGGCUAAGAUGGCGUCCGUUUUAGAAGGCCGCACAGAUAAUGAAAUUAAGAAUUUUUGGAACACCAGAACAAAGAGGCUUCAGAAAGCUGGUCUAGGUCUUUAUCCAGAUGGUUUGUUAUCUCGGCUGGCAAAUCAAGAGAUGGGUUCUCAUAGUCCUGAUGAUUCACGUGGGAAGAAACGGCCGAAUGAACUCUCACAGGGAAAUGGUCUUGCAUUUGAUGAUAUUAUAUUUGAGAAAUUGGACUAUAAGAAGCAGUCAGACAAUUUCCUUACUCCAAAUUUUACAAUUCAAGAUUCUCUUCCAAUGAAUGACAUUAAUUACCCUUUGAAGCGUCAUGCAUCUUCUGGCAUAGUAUCAGACUACGGUGGUAGUCCUAAGUGUGAACAAUUUUCUAAUGAGACUGAGGAGGCCUCUUACAAUGAUCUCAACACUGAGAUGUCUAUUGUUUCUUUUAAUAAUGUCAUUUCCAAUAGCACGCCAUUAUUAGAUGGCAAUUUCCCUAUUUCUGGGAACAUACCGUGGCCCAUUAAAAUGGAGCUCCCUUCAUUCCAAUAUGCCGGCUAUGAUACAAGCACCAGCUUGUGUCCCGCAUCAACUCUUCCUGAACAGGUACAUGGAUUUGGGGUCCCUACAAAGUUCGAAGGAGAGUUUGACUCAGAACUUCCAUUUUCACAUGUUUACCCUUAUAUUCCGCACUCUUCAGUCUUUGAUGACAAUACCCUUGAGUACAGUUCUUUCAAUGAACUUAGAACUUACAAAUCACCUACUGACUCGGAUGCUAUUUUCAUGGACAACAAACAUAAUGCAGACAUAUUCCAGGAUAAAUAUUUUUCGUCAGAUCCUUGUGCCACUGAUGUAUCAGCGGAAGCAACAUUUUUGAAUGAAGAUUCAACACACUCAGAGUAUCAACCCAGCAACGGUCCACUUAAUGCAUUAUUUUAUGGACAUUUUUGCAAUGACGUUGCAUUAUCAGCCAGGGAUGAUCAUCAGACUGUUUCCAGUAAUGGCAUACACAGUACACAGCACUUGUCUGGAUAUUGA